Molecule: ribosomal RNA, 938 nt
Filed under: fungal endophyte
Lineage: Eukaryota; Fungi
Description: eukaryotic LSU rRNA
Rfam family: 5.8S ribosomal RNA (bases 192-345)
Source: RNAcentral
UAUUUAUCAGGCGGGCUGGAACCCCCCGCUGGGCACUGCUUCACGGCGUGCGCGGCGGGGCCGGCCCUGCUGAAUUAUUCACCCGUGUCUUUUGCGUACUUCUUGUUUCCUGGGUGGGCUCGCCCGCCCUCAGGACCAACCACAAACCUUUUGCAAUAGCAAUCAGCGUCAGUAACAACGUAAUUAAUUACAACUUUCAACAACGGAUCUCUUGGUUCUGGCAUCGAUGAAGAACGCAGCGAAAUGCGAUACGUAGUGUGAAUUGCAGAAUUCAGUGAAUCAUCGAAUCUUUGAACGCACAUUGCGCCCUUUGGUAUUCCAAAGGGCAUGCCUGUUCGAGCGUCAUUUGUACCCUCAAGCUUUGCUUGGUGUUGGGCGUCUUUUGUCUCCAGUUCGCUGGAGACUCGCCUUAAAGUCAUUGGCAGCCGGCCUACUGGUUUCGGAGCGCAGCACAAGUCGCGCUCUUUGCCAGCCAAGGUCAGCGUCCAGCAAGCCUUUUUUUCAACCUUUGACCUCGGAUCAGGUAGGGAUACCCGCUGAACUUAAGCAUAUCAAUAGGCCGGAGGAAAAUCAUUACACAAUAACCAGGCGGGCUGGACACCCCCGCUGGGCACUGCUUCACGGCGUGCGCGGCGGGGCGGCCCUGCUGAAUUAUUCACCGUGUCUUUUGCGUACUUCUUGUUUCUGGGUGGGCUGCGCUCAGGACAACACAAACUUUUUGCAUAGCAUCGCGUCGUACACGUAAUUUAUUACACUUUCACAAGAUCUCUUGGAUCUGGCAUCAUGAAGAAGCAGCAAAAGCAUACUUAUUGUGAAAUUGCAGAAAUUCAUUGAAUCAUCGAAUCUUUUGAACGCCAUUGUGCUUUCGGUUAUUCAAGGAGCAUGCGAUGCAGCAAUUGUACACUGUCGGUUUGUUGGGGGCGUUUGACCUCCGUUCC